Long non-coding RNA from Marmota flaviventris (yellow-bellied marmot), 975 nucleotides. RefSeq lists it as uncharacterized. NCBI's taxonomy places the organism in Eukaryota, Metazoa, Chordata, Mammalia, Rodentia, Sciuridae. The record is from RefSeq and is a predicted model, not a curated record.
GGCUGACCUCGGAAGGGUUGCUUUGCAGUGCAGCAGAGUGAGGCCCCCUGACUUCAUCGCGGGAGACUUUGGUGGGGGCGCCUCAGGAUCCCCAUAGCAUGGGGGAGGUUCCCUGAACAGGUGGCGUCCUGACCUCCCGCGGGAGCGUCCCGCGCUCUCCCCAUCUCUUGGUCCUUGGUCGGCUCCUUUACUUCUUUAUCUCCCUCCCAGCGAUGCCCGACUCCCAGCAGGAGUAUAGGUCUUUUGGUUAUAGCCAUGAAAAGCUGACCAAACAGAUGCCCUUUUCAUGUAAAUUUCAGUGCUCAAGUCAAAGCCAGACAAGAACACGGAAUCCAAAGCAGUCAUGACCUCUUUUUCUGCCACUUGCCUGAGAACUUAACCUUUCACCUGGAGAUGCCAACAGAUACCAGGCCAAGGUGCCCAGGACAAAGACUUUGGAGGACAGGUGCAAAUGGAAUUCCUUUUGUCUCCUGCAGUCUAGCCACGAAGUUGGGAGGAUGGACACUUGGUGUAUUUAACAAGCAUCCAAACAACUAGGGAACAUCCAAGUCAGAGUCAGAGCUGAAGGGAAUCUUAGCUCACCUCCUUUUUUGAUAGAUGGGUAAACAGAGGCCAGUGACCUUGGUGGCUUUCUUGAGAUCACCCAACUGACACUCGAUGCUGAUGAACCUGGUUUUCUGGCUCCCAAGCCACUGUUUGCUCCCUGAUACCAUGGCACCUUUGUAUACAUUCCUGACACUGCCCCAGUGCUUCAGCCAGCCUCUCAUGGCGCAUCACAGCUUCCACCGCCUGUGCUGACCUGCCUGAGCAGCUUCCAGGACUGUCCCACAAGGGCAAACGAUUAAUGCACUUGUAAACUGACUGAUCUGCAAACAUGACCAUGGGCCUGUGGAAUGAGUGAGUGGCUUCUACAUUUGGUCACCCAGGAGCCCUUCCUUAUGCUGGGCAGAUGAAAUUAAAAACAAACAAACAAAC